CCUGUUUUGUAGUUUGAUAAGUACCUGUGAUUAAUUAAAUGUUACUGCCCUAGUAAUGCUGUUUUCCUUUCAGAAAACCAUUGCACCCAUGUGAAUAUGGAAGAAGAAAGACCCCUGAGCUUGGGCUAAUGGAGAAAAUUAGUCCUACAGGAGCCUCUAAAACCUUAUAACCACUUGUUCAUCCCACAGUCUGGACAUGAAGUCUGGAGAAAUGAAGUAUAAAGGUGGGCUUGAUGAGGACAGAGAAGCUUGUGGUCCGAUAAACAGAGGGGACUGUCCCAGAAAUGGCUUUAUGGAAUAUCUGAUACAACAAAGCUAACUUCACAUAAGAUUCCUUUCCCUCAAUCAAGGUAUAGAAGAGCCACCAAGACCUUCACCGGGAGCAAAACUCCCUCUACAGCCAUGAGUGUGCACAUGCGACUCAUGGACCAAAGCCUUAGCACUUGGAAAUGACUCCAGGGAAAGGCACAAACAGGAUCUUGAAUUGACUGAGACUGUGUUGACAAUAGCAAAAUAAUAGGGAAUCAAAAUAGAAAUUUUGUGGAGUUACAGAAAAAUAAAG
Molecule: long non-coding RNA, 562 nt
Filed under: Homo sapiens (human)
Lineage: Eukaryota; Metazoa; Chordata; Mammalia; Primates; Hominidae
Description: HSALNT0199436
Source: RNAcentral